RNAcentral lists this ribosomal RNA (1946 nucleotides) under marine metagenome. RNAcentral describes it as "bacterial LSU rRNA". It matches the Rfam family "Bacterial large subunit ribosomal RNA", at positions 1 to 1977 of the family's 2925-position model. The record is from RNAcentral.
AAAAUUAAUCAAGGGCACACGGUGGAUGCCUUGGGAUCUAGAGGCGAUGAAGGACGUGGUAAGCUGCGAUAAGCUUCGGGGAGCUGCAACGAGCGCUAAUCCGAAGAUUUCCGAAUGGGGCAACCCGGCAGAUGGAAGAUCUGUCACCGAAAGGAGCUAACCCAGUGAACUGAAACAUCUAAGUAGCUGGAGGAAAAGAAAAUAAUUAAUGAUUCCCUAAGUAGUGGCGAGCGAACGGGGAAGAGCCCAAACCAAUUAUGUUCCGGCAUAGUUGGGGUUGUAGGGCCGCGAUAUCGAAUGUACAUGCGAAGAAGAACACAACUGGAAAGUUGGGCCAUAGUGGGUGAUAGCCCCUUAAUCGUAUGCAUGUGUUAUUUGUAGCGGUACCCUGAGUAGGGCGGGACACGUGGAAUCCUGUCUGAAUCUACCAGGACCAUCUGGUAAGGCUAAAUACUCCUAGAUCACCGAUAGUGAACCAGUACCGUGAGGGAAAGGUGAAAAGUACCCUGAAUAAGGGAGUGAAAUAGUACCUGAAACCGUGUGCUUACAAGCGGUCGGAGCUUCUUCGUGAAGUGACGGCGUGCCUUUUGCAUAAUGAUCCUACGAGUUGCUCCUCACUAGCGAGGUUAAGGGCUGAAGGCCCGGAGCCGAAGCGAAAGCGAGUCUGAAUAGGGCGUAUAGUUAGUGGGGGCAGACGCGAAACCUAGUGAUCUACCCAUGGCCAGGGUGAAGCUUUGGUAACACAAAGUGGAGGCCCGAACCCGUUGACGUUGAAAAGUCUUGGGAUGAGCUGUGGGUAGGGGUGAAAGGCUAAUCAAACUGGGAAAUAGCUCGUACUCCCCGAAAUGUAUUUAGGUACAGCCUUGAGUGUAGUGUAUUAGAGGUAGAGCUACUGGUUGGAUGCGGGGGCUUCACCGCCUACCAAGUCCUGUCAAACUCCGAAUGCUAAUACAUGUUCCUCAGGAGUGAGGGCCGGGGUGCUAAGGUCACGGUCCGAGAGGGAAACAACCCAGAUCAUCUGCUAAGGUCCCAAAAUAUAUGCUAAGUUGAACAAACGAGGUCGGGCUGCUUUGACAGCUAGGAUGUUGGCUUGGAAGCAGCCAUUCAUUUAAAGAGUGCGUAACAGCUCACUAGUCGAGCGGCCUGGCAUGGACAAUAAUCGGGCAUUAAGCAUAUUACCGAAGCAAUGGGCUCGUAAGAGCGGUAGGGGAGCAUUCUGGUUGCGCCGAAGGUUGACCGUAAGGUUGGCUGGAGCGGCCAGAAAAGAAAAUGUAGGAAUAAGUAACGAUAAUGCAGGUGAGAAACCUGCACACCGUAAACCCAAGGUUUCCUCAGCAAUGCUAAUCAGCUGAGGGUUAGUCGGGACCUAAGGCGAACCCGAACGGGGUAGUCGAUGGAUAACUGGUUAAUAUUCCAGUACUCGCUUUAACUGCGAUGGGGUAACGAAGGUGUGACAGCUCCGCGUACUGACGGAAUAGUACGUUGAAGCCCGUAGGUAUAGGUUGGAUAGGCAAAUCCGUCCGACUUGCUGAAAGGUGAUAGUACUCCAAGGCUUCGGCUGCGGAGAUAGUGAGUGUAAUCAGACUUCCAAGAAAAACCUCUAAGCUUCAGGUUAAAGCGACUCGUACCGUAAACCGACACAGGUGGGUGAGGAGAGUAUCCUCAGGUGCUCGAGUGAAUCAUGGCUAAGGAACUAGGCAAAAUCGCCCCGUAACUUCGGGAGAAGGGGCGCCUCCGCGAGGAGGCCGCAGUGAAUAGGCCCAGGCGACUGUUUAGCAAAAACACAGGACUCUGCUAAAUCGAAAGAUGAUGUAUAGGGUCUGACACCUGCCCGGUGCUGGAAGGUUAAGAGGAGAUGUUAUCGCAAGAGAAGCAUUGAAUUGAAGCCCCAGUAAACGGCGGCCGUAACUAUAACGGUCCUAAGGUAGCGAAAUUCCUUGUCGGGU